RNAcentral lists this ribosomal RNA (424 nucleotides) under Aname sp. MYG185. RNAcentral's name for it is "partial 16S ribosomal RNA". It matches the Rfam family "Archaeal large subunit ribosomal RNA", at positions 1925 to 2670 of the family's 2987-position model. Lineage: Eukaryota; Metazoa; Arthropoda; Arachnida; Araneae; Anamidae. The record is from RNAcentral.
UAAAAGAAUUUAAUUUUUAGUAACCCCUGCUCAAUGAUUUUAAAUAGCCGCAGACUCCUGUGCUAAGGUAGCAUAAUCAUUUGCCUAAUAAUUAUAGGAUAGAAUGAAAGGCGAUACAUGUUAUCUCCUUUAUUGGGUAGGAUUCUUAAAAUUACCUUUUAAGUAAAAAUCCUUAAAUUAUCAGGGGGACGACAAGACCCUGACGAACUUUACACUAUGUUUAGCUGGGGCGGCAGACAAAUCAAACCUUUCCUUUCUUUUUCUAUAUCCAGCCUACAAAUGAUUACCAAGUUACCGCAGGGAUAACAGCAUAAUAAUUUCCUGAAGGCCUUAUACAAGAGAUUAUUUGUGACCUCGAUGUUGAAUUAAAAAUCUAUUAGAGGCAGCCCUCUAAUAAGAAAGUCUGUUCGACUUUUAAAAACUU